Molecule: long non-coding RNA, 1168 nt
Organism: Monodelphis domestica (gray short-tailed opossum)
Lineage: Eukaryota; Metazoa; Chordata; Mammalia; Didelphimorphia; Didelphidae
Source: RefSeq, a predicted model, not a curated record
GUGGGAGAGAGAGGGGAGAAGCCAGGCCCCUUGGGUAAUCCGGCCUCGGGGCUGGCUGCUCCGUCAUUUCCAUAACACUGGGGUCACCCCUGCCUAUUGUGUUCCCGAGGCUCCAGUUUUUCGGCUUCCCGGAGGGGCCAUUAUCAUUCACAUUCUUCCGCCGAGAGGUGCGGAUUCAACCGCACAAAAGUGAAACUAAAUGCCCUCCUUACCCCGCUCCCUAGACUCGAGCUGGGGCUUUUCCUUCGGGGCUAAUGCCUACAGACUGUGAGCUCCUGGAGGCCUGGACCAUCUUAUUUACUCAUAUUUAUACCCCCAGGGCUUAGCACAGUGCCUGGCACAUGGACAUGGCGGAGAUGGAUUAGCCAGGAGAGCCUGCCCUAAACAGACACAGAGGAACUCCGGAUCGAAGGCUAGCAUCAAAAGAUAUUGAAAAAACCAUGUCAUCUUGUCAGUUCCUGUUUCAACAUGUUUGACUGUGAAUGCUGGACUUCUUUUCAUUUUAUGCUUAAUAAAAGAACGCGGGGAUUUCUACUCCUCACACAAACAACACAUGGACAAUCCACAAUGUGGGCAAAGCAAGUUGAAAGAAGCUUGCAAGUGAUUUCCUCCCAUGCCUAAAUUAUCAUAAACACUUGUUCCGUUGGCUACAAAUCAUGGCUUCAUCUCCUCCCUCUCCAGCUGCGGCAAAAUCCCACCCGAGAAUCCUUUUUACAGCUGUGCCUUUUCCUACCCCGAACAAAAGGAAUCAGUGAUUCUCUCCUGGAAAUAACAGCUCCAGUUACCAGGCGGUUUGGGGAAGAUGGAGAGCUGCAAGUUUUGGAAGAGUUUGUGGGCUCAUGGGCAAAUGGGCUGAGUUAAAGAAAUGUUCCAAAACUGUUUCUAGGAGAACCCCCAGAAGACACCAGGGUGGGGCAAAAUGAUUCUUCUUGAAGGCUGCUCUCAGAGUCCAGCGUCUAUCCACUGUAUCAUCUAGCUUCCUAUCUGGAAGGGCUUCAGCUAAGGAGUGGUCUUCAGCUGAGUCUUGAAGAAAACCAGGAAUGUCAAGUCUUUGAAGUGAUUACUUUUUUCUGAAUUCAGGUCCACCAUUCUGCCCCUUAUACCUCCUAGCUGCCCUACUUAAUGUCCAGGGCUCUGGCUAAUAAUUUUUGUAAACCCGUACAUUCUA